This 75-nucleotide non-coding RNA is filed under the name Rossellomorea vietnamensis. RNAcentral's name for it is "Bacillus vietnamensis c-di-GMP sequence". It matches the Rfam family "c-di-GMP-I riboswitch aptamer". Rfam says of the family: GEMM was predicted in a large-scale screen for bacterial structured RNA regulatory elements. Genes associated with GEMM are involved in a diverse array of functions, including chemotaxis regulation, signal transduction, secretion and chitin. The record is from Rfam by way of RNAcentral. Lineage: Bacteria; Bacillati; Bacillota; Bacilli; Caryophanales; Bacillaceae.
ACUGAUUAAGGGCAAUAUCAUCGAAAGGUGACGACGCAAAGCUACAGGGCUAUUACAUGCCAGCCAGCUGCCAAA